AUGUUCGGGUUAAGUCCCGUAACGAGACGCAACCCUUGUCCUUAGUUACCAGCACGUAAUGGUGGGCACUCUAAGGAGACUGCCGGUGACAAACCGGAGGAAGGUGGGGAUGACGUCAAGUCAUCAUGGCCCUUACGGCCAGGGCUACACACGUGCUACAAUGGUCGGUACAAAGGGUUGCCAAGCCGCGAGGUGGAGCUAAUCCCAUAAACCGAUCGUAGUCCGGAUCGCAGUCUGCAACUCGACUGCGUGAAGUCGGAAUCGCUAGUAAUCGUGAAUCAGAAUGUCACGGUGAAUACGUUCCCGGGCCUU
Molecule: ribosomal RNA, 312 nt
Filed under: uncultured Pseudomonas sp.
Lineage: Bacteria; Pseudomonadati; Pseudomonadota; Gammaproteobacteria; Pseudomonadales; Pseudomonadaceae
Description: bacterial SSU rRNA
Rfam family: Bacterial small subunit ribosomal RNA
Source: RNAcentral